This 492-nucleotide ribosomal RNA is filed under the name uncultured bacterium. RNAcentral describes it as "partial 16S ribosomal RNA". It matches the Rfam family "Bacterial small subunit ribosomal RNA", at positions 29 to 507 of the family's 1533-position model. The record is from RNAcentral.
AUUGAGCGCUGGCGGCAUGCUUUACACAUGCAAGUCGAACGGUAACAGGCCUUCGGGUGCUGACGAGUGGCGAACGGGUGAGUAAUGCAUCGGAACGUACCCAGAGGUGGGGGAUAACGCAGCGAAAGCUGUGCUAAUACCGCAUGUGAUCUGAGGAUGAAAGCGGGGGACCGAGCAGCAAUGUUUGGCCUCGCGCCUUUGGAGCGGCCGAUGUCGGAUUAGCUAGUUGGUGGGGUAAAGGCCUACCAAGGCGACGAUCCGUAGCUGGUCUGAGAGGACGACCAGCCACACUGGGACUGAGACACGGCCCAGACUCCUACGGGAGGCAGCAGUGGGGAAUUUUGGACAAUGGGCGCAAGCCUGAUCCAGCAAUGCCGCGUGCGGGAAGAAGGCCUUCGGGUUGUAAAACGCUUUUGGCAGGAACGAAACGGUGUCCGCUAAUACCGGGCGCUAAUGACGGUACCUGCAGAAUAAGCACCGGCUAACUACGUG